This 253-nucleotide ribosomal RNA is filed under the name uncultured bacterium. Its description in RNAcentral is "partial 16S ribosomal RNA". It matches the Rfam family "Bacterial small subunit ribosomal RNA", at positions 524 to 776 of the family's 1533-position model. The record is from RNAcentral.
UACGUAGGGUGCGAGCGUUGUCCGGGAUUAUUGGGCGUAAAGGGCUCGUAGGCGGUUUGUCACGUCGGGAGUGAAAACCUUGGGCUUAACUCAGGGCUUGCUUUCGAUACGGGCAGACUAGAGGUAUGCAGGGGAGAACGGAAUUCCUGGUGUAGCGGUGAAAUGCGCAGAUAUCAGGAGGAACACCGGUGGCGAAGGCGGUUCUCUGGGCAUGAUCUGACGCUGAGGAGCGAAAGUGUGGGGAGCGAACAGG